GGGCGGCCUCCGUGUGCCAAAAAUAGGCCACGGGCACAGCCGCGCCCAAAAAUCAGCCCCCGAAGGUCGGGGUCACAAGACCCCCCAGCGGAAAAAAGGCCAAGAAACGCGUGGGCUAUAGCCUUGGUGGGGGGCGUGGGUGAAGUUCGUCCGCGGGACUCGGAAUGGCACCAUACUUGGCGGGCGGCCUCCGUGUGCCAAAAAUAGGCCACGGGCACAGCCGCGCCCAAAAAUCAGCCCCCGAAGGUCGGGGUCCCAAGACCCCCCAGCGGAAAAAUGGCCAAAAAACGGGUGGGCUAUAGCCUUGGUGGGGGGCGUGGGCGAAGUUCGUCCGCGGGACUCGGAAUGGCCCCAGACUUGGCGGGCGGCCUCCGUGUGCCAAAAAUAGGCCACGGGCACAGCCGCGGCCAAAAAUCAGCCCCCGAAGGUCGGGGUCCCAAGACCCCCCAGCGGAAAAAUGGCCAAGAAACGCGUGGGCUAUAGCCUUGGUGGGGGGCGUGGGCGAAGUUCGUCCGCGGGACUCGGAAUGGCCCCAGACUUGGCGGGCGGCCUCCGUGUGCCAAAAAUAGGCCACGGGCACAGCCGCGCCCAAAAAUCAGCCCCCGAAGGUCGGGGUCCCAAGACCCCCCAGCGGAAAAAUGGCCAAGAAACGGGUGGGCUAUAGCCUUGGUGGGGGGCGUGGGCGAAGUUCGUCCGCGGGACUCGGAAUGGCCCCAGACUUGGCGGGCGGCCUCCGUGUGCCAAAAAUAGGCCACGGGCACAGCCGCGCCCAAAAAUCAGCCCCCGAAGGUCGGGGUCACAAGACCCCCCAGCGGAAAAAAGGCUAAGAAACGCGUGGGCUAUAGCCUUGGUGGGGGGCGUGGGCGAAGUUCGUCCGCGGGACUCGGAAUGGCACCAUACUUGGCGGGCGGCCUCCGUGUGCCAAAAAUAGGCCACGGGCACAGCCGCGCCCAAAAAUCAGCCCCCGAAGGUCGGGGUCCCAAGACCCCCCAGCGGAAAAAUGGCCAAAAAACGGGUGGGCUAUAGCCUUGGUGGGGGGCGUGGGCGAAGUUCGUCCGCGUGACUCGGAAUGGCCCCAGACUUGGCGGGCGGCCUCCGUGUGCCAAAAAUAGGCCACGGGCACAGCCGCGCCCAAAAAUCAGCCCCCGAAGGUCGGGGUCCCAAGACCCCCCAGCGGAAAAAUGGCCAAGAAACGCGUGGGCUAUAGCCUUGGUGGGGGGCGUGGGCGAAGUUCGUCCGCGGGACUCGGAAUGGCCCCAGACUUGGCGGGCGGCCUCCGUGUGCCAAAAAUAGGCCACGGGCACAGCCGCGCCCAAAAAUCAGCCCCCGAAGGUCGGGGUCACAAGACCCCCCAGCGGAAAAAAGGCCAAGAAACGCGUGGGCUAUAGCCUUGGUGGGGGGCGUGGGUGAAGUUCGUCCGCGGGACUCGGAAUGGCACCAUACUUGGCGGGCGGCCUCCGUGUGCCAAAAAUAGGCCACGGGCACAGCCGCGCCCAAAAAUCAGCCCCCGAAGGUCGGGGUCCCAAGCCCCCCCAGCGGAAAAAUGGCCAAGAAACGCGUGGGCUAUAGCCUUGGUGGGGGGCGUGGGCGAAGUUCGUCCGCGGGACUCGGAAUGGCCCCAGACUUGGCGGGCGGCCUCCGUGUGCCAAAAAUAGGCCACGGGCACAGCCGGGCCCAAAAAUCAGCCCCCGAAGGUCGGGGUCACAAGGACCCCCCAGCGGAAAAAAGGCCAAGAAACGGGUGGGCUAUAGCCUUGGUGGGGGGCGUGGGCGAAGUUCGUCCGCGGGACUCGGAAUGGCACCAUACUUGGCGGGCGGCCUCCGUGUGCCAAAAAUAGGCCACGGGCACAGCCGCGCCCAAAAAUCAGCCCCCGAAGUUCGGGGUCCCAAGACCCCCCAGCGGAAAAAUGGCCAAAAAACGGGUGGGCUAUAGCCUUGGUGGGGGGCGUGGGCGAAGUUCGUCCGCGGGACUCGAAAUGGCCCCAGACUUGGCGGGCGGCCUCCGUGUGCCAAAAAUAGGCCACGGGCACAGCCGCGCCCAAAAAUCAGCCCCCGAAGGUCGGGGUCCCAAGACCCCCCAGCGGAAAAAUGGCCAAGAAACGCGUGGGCUAUAGCCUUGGUGGGGGGCGUGGGCGAAGUUCGUCCGCGGGACUCGGAAUAGCCCCAGACUUGGCGGGCGGCCUCCGUGUGCCAAAAAUUGGCCACGGGCACAGCCGCGCCCAAAAAUCAGCCCCCGAAGGUCGGGGUCCCAAGACCCCCCAGCGGAAAAAUGGCCAAGAAACGGGUGGGCUAUAGCCUUGGUGGGGGGCGUGGGCGAAGUUCGUCCGCGGGACUCGGAAUGGCCCCAGACUUGGCGGGCGGCCUCCGUGUGCCAAAAAUAGGCCACGGGCACAGCCGCACCCAAAAAUCAGCCCCCGAAGGUCGGGGUCCCAAGACCCCCCAGCGGAAAAAUGGCCAAGAAACGCAUGGGCUAUAGCCUUGGUGGGGGGCGUGGGCGAAGUUCGUCCGCGGGACUCGGAAUGGCCCCAGACUUGGCGGGCGGCCUCCGUGUGCCAAAAAUAGGCCA
This 2565-nucleotide long non-coding RNA is filed under the name Citrus x clementina. RNAcentral's name for it is "Citrus clementina (C. clementina) long non-coding RNA (CCLE_LNC000671)". Lineage: Eukaryota; Viridiplantae; Streptophyta; Magnoliopsida; Sapindales; Rutaceae. The record is from RNAcentral.